UACGUAGGUGGCAAGCGUUGUCCGGAUUUACUGGGCGUAAAGAGCGCGCAGGCGGUCGUACAAGUCGCGUGUGAAAGCCCCCGGCUCAACUGGGGAGGGUCACGCGAUACUGUUCGACUCGAAGGCAGGAGAGGGAAGCGGAAUUCCCGGUGUAGUGGUGAAAUGCGUAGAUAUCGGGAGGAACACCAGUGGCGAAGGCGGCUUCCUGGCCUGUUCUUGACGCUGAGGCGCGAAAGCUAGGGUAGCAAGCGGG
Molecule: ribosomal RNA, 253 nt
Filed under: uncultured bacterium
Lineage: Bacteria
Description: partial 16S ribosomal RNA
Rfam family: Bacterial small subunit ribosomal RNA
Source: RNAcentral